This is a non-coding RNA of Ixodes scapularis (black-legged tick), 73 nucleotides long. The record is from Rfam. NCBI's taxonomy places the organism in Eukaryota, Metazoa, Arthropoda, Arachnida, Ixodida, Ixodidae.
UCCCGGUUAGAUAAGUUGGUAGAGGACUCCACUAGAAAUGGAGAGGUCCCUGGUUCGAUACCAGGACCAGGCA